GAUAAAACAUAAUGCAAAGAAACGUCGAAAGUUCACAUCGGCAAAACAACUGAUGACAAAAUUACAUUUGUUACUACGGAUGUUUACACAAAACUGAUUUCAAUUAAUUAAUUAUAAAUUUUUUAAUGAGCUUAUCUCUUCCUUAUUGAUUAUAUAUAAAGGCUGAUAUUAAUUAUAGUAGAGAUAAUUCAGUAUUUGUAAUAUGGUUCUUUAUUAAAAUGAAUGUGUUUUGGCUUUUUCAGUUCUGUUCGAGUGACACCCAACACUGAAGUUGGCGAAAUUCUACCGGACCGGACCUGCGAGAAUAGGUAGAGAAAAAAUAAUUGGUAUUGACUAAAUUAUUGUUUUCUCAGAUGCCAGUGACUGGUCCUAUCCUAGUUUGCCAGUUUCUGUGAGGAUCCACUUUGUGAUGGAGGAUUCUAGGUUUGUUUUUUGUUAACCCAGGAAUAGGUUCCAGAGCAUAUCAUCUUGCGGAUCCACCUUUAGCCAGUUUAUAGGGCCACUUGACUGACGGAUUUCACAGGAUUCUUUUGCCAGUUUAACCUCUUUUAAGAGUUUCAGUGCACAUUUAAAGCAUGCAUUUCAGCUUGAUUUCAAGGUGUACUUAUGAGUUUGAUUGUAUUUUGGCCUUGCAUAGAACCUAUUCCUUAAGUGGUUGUUGGGUGAUCUGGUCAUUUUGGUACCCUGGGUUAUGUCCCUGAGCAAUUGCUUUGCAUUUAAGUGCAUCUUGAUGAUUCAAUUAUAGACAACAUCAGCUGGGCUGAGGUGGGUGAGGCUUUAACUAAAUAAAAUUUAUAAUUUUGAAACGAGGGUGGUGGAUCUUGUCAGGCUGUCUUUAACUUGAGGUUUACACAGGAGUCUAGAGGAGACAAGACAUGACAAAACUCCAUGCUGUCACCUCAGCCAUGUGACCAGUUGAUAAUGAAACCGGUGUCGACUAGUGCAAGUGAUCUGGUACUGUCCAACUGUUUUUGAAUGAAUAACAAACUUUUUGAAAACACAGCUGAUUGUACAAAACAUUUGUAACAAUUAAAUUUGUAGAAAUACUGAAACUAAAUAUGUCGAGUCCUUUUUAUUCACCUACAAUAAAUAGUUGUGGAGAUGUAAGGUGAUAUCUAAGACAAGCUUAAAUCAUGUCACCAUUAGUCGCCGGGGGACAAGAGCCACUGUGACAAGUCGAGUCACAUCCAGUCACCUGUU
This 1200-nucleotide long non-coding RNA is filed under the name Cimex lectularius (bed bug). RNAcentral describes it as "uncharacterized LOC106673171, transcript variant X1". The record is from RNAcentral. Lineage: Eukaryota; Metazoa; Arthropoda; Insecta; Hemiptera; Cimicidae.